RNAcentral lists this transfer RNA (75 nucleotides) under Candidatus Bipolaricaulota bacterium. RNAcentral describes it as "tRNA-Val". It matches the Rfam family "tRNA". From Rfam's summary of the family: Transfer RNA (tRNA) molecules are approximately 80 nucleotides in length. Their secondary structure includes four short double-helical elements and three loops (D, anti-codon, and T loops). Further hydrogen bonds mediate the characteristic L-shaped molecular structure. tRNAs have two regions of fundamental functional importance: the anti-codon, which is responsible for specific mRNA codon recognition, and the 3' end, to which the tRNAs corresponding amino acid is attached (by aminoacyl-tRNA synthetases). tRNAs cope with the degeneracy of the genetic code in two manners: having more than one tRNA (with a specific anti-codon) for a particular amino acid; and 'wobble' base-pairing, i.e. permitting non-standard base-pairing at the 3rd anti-codon position. The record is from RNAcentral. Lineage: Bacteria; Candidatus Bipolaricaulota.
GGGCGAGUAGCUCAGCGGGAGAGCACCUGGCUUACAUCCAGGAGGUCAUAGGUUCGAGUCCUAUCUCGCCCACCA